This 482-nucleotide ribosomal RNA is filed under the name uncultured Desulfofustis sp. Its description in RNAcentral is "bacterial SSU rRNA". It matches the Rfam family "Bacterial small subunit ribosomal RNA", at positions 8 to 491 of the family's 1533-position model. The record is from RNAcentral. Lineage: Bacteria; Pseudomonadati; Thermodesulfobacteriota; Desulfobulbia; Desulfobulbales; Desulfocapsaceae.
AGAGUUUGAUCAUGGCUCAGAAUGAACGUUGGCGGCGUGCUUAACACAUGCAAGUCGAGCGAGAAAACUCCUUCGGGAGUUAGUACAGCGGCGGACGGGUGAGGAACGCGUAAGAAUCUUCCCUUCAGUGAAGAAUACCCUUGAGAAAUCGAGGAUAAUACUGCAUAUUCCCUACGGGGCAAAGGUGGCUUUAUGCUGCCGCUGAAGGAUGAGCUUGCGUGCUAUUAGCUAGUUGGUGAGGUAAAGGCUCACCAAGGCGAUGAUGGCUAGCCGGCCUGAGAGGGUGUACGGCCACAUUGGGACUGAGAUACGGCCCAGACUCCUACGGGAGGCAGCAGUGAGGAAUAUUGCGCAAUGGGCGAAAGCCUGACGCAGCGACGCCGCGUGGAGGAUGACGGUCUUCGGAUUGUAAACUCCUGUUAAGUGGGAAGAAAACCCAAUCUCUAACAUAGAUUGGAUAUGACGGUACCACUAGAGAAGAC